This 2199-nucleotide long non-coding RNA is filed under the name Vitis vinifera (wine grape). RNAcentral describes it as "long non-coding RNA (VVIN_LNC006144)". The record is from RNAcentral. Lineage: Eukaryota; Viridiplantae; Streptophyta; Magnoliopsida; Vitales; Vitaceae.
UUUUGAACAAAGACUUAAAAAAAACUUAAAUAUUGAAGCCUUAAAUACCGACAGGCAGAAAAUUUAAAGUUGGGGAGAAAGCUCAAUACCAAAGACUGAAAAGGGGCAGAGUUUGGGAACCUAAGCCGACAGCAUGGGGUGGUGGCGUCGGAGCUCCGGAACUUGCGAUCUUACACCGAUGGCGACGCGAUUUCCACGAGGGUGAAGGACAGUCGAGAUGAAGGACAUAAGACAUGAUCCUCUGUUUCACGAUGAGUUCGCGACCUGGAGAGGGUGAAAACCUGAGAGAAAGAGAAGGCCGACGGCAACGAAGAUCCCAAGGCGACAACUAGGCUGUGAUGAAGGUUGCACGAUCUGUUUUCACAAUGAAGCAAUUUCUGUUGCAGCAGCGGCGUGACGGCGAUGUGAGUGUUGACGACGGUGGCUUGGUGAGAUGAAGACGAUGACAGUGCUAUCCAAGACUAUGCAAGGCCAACCGUUCCACAAUCUGUGUGCAAUCGACGCACUUUCUACUGGUGAAGGGGCGCGAUUCAAACGGGAGGAAAAUUCCUAAGGUCGACUUUGAAUUCCAACUCGGCAAGGAAGGUGGAAAAAUUCUUGGAAGAAAAAUUGAAAGGUAAAUAAAAAAAAAUUUCUACCUAAUUAAAUUUGAAAUUUUCUAAACUAAUUCUAUCAAAUGCCCUUAUUACAUAAUUAUCCUAAUCCUCUUCAUAAUUAUAAAAAUAUUGGGUAUAACCUUUCCUAAUUACAUUCUUCCACUUACUAAGAAAUAAUCUAUUAUUGUUAAAUAUAGAAGGUGAAGUGGCUAAAAUUCUUUCAUAAAGCCGGAUAGAUUGCUCCUCAAUAUAUAUUUUUCAUUUUUGUUAAUAUGUUGUAUAUUUUUUUGCUACGGCAAGUUAGGGCCUUCCUAUGAAGUAAUGCAAGAGAUUUUGUUGUAGAUACAUGAGCAACUUUAGUUUAAGCUUAUAUAUAUUGUCUUUUGGUUGCAUAUUAUUAUGUAAGUUUCUUCUUUUAAAAAUGGUAAAAAUAAAAAUAUAUUCAUUUGGUUCCUUAGCUAUUGGGUAAUCUAACUAGCUUGAAAAUAAGGUUUUGUUCAAUUAAGAGUAACUUAAAAGAGAUGAAUAAUCCCUAAAUUUGUAAAUUUAACCCCAUAUUUUUUCUUGAAAAAUAAUCUAUUUCGUGAUAUAAACACCUUUCAUCCUUUUAAUUAUUUACAUGUAAAUUUUAAAAGAAUAGACCAUUUUUGCAAGAAAAUUUUGAAAACAUUUUUACUAAAAAGAAAAAAAAUGAAGGAUUAAAUUUCCAAAUUUGGAUUUUCAAUGUUAAGAAAUACUUACAACUUUUCUUUUAAUUUUUUGCAUAACUUAGAUCAUGUGAUUUUAAAUUAGCUUUCAAAAAAGUUUUCUUUUCAAUUCAACAGAAUGGUUAACCAAUUUUUCAAAAACUUUUAGCCGAUGCUUGGUUCGAAAGUUCUAAGGAAAAAAAUAUAUAUAUAUUUUUUUCAUAGAAAAUAUGAAAAGAAAUCAAAUACUAUUAAAAAUAAUUAAAAAUUUAUAUAAAAUAUAAGUAAAAUAAACUUAAAGCAACAUAUAAAAAUAAUUUAUUAAUUUUAAAUUUAUUUUUUAUUUUCUUUCAUUUUUUUCUUUUUUUUCAUACUUUUCCUCUAUUUUUUCUUACACUUUCUCUCAAAUUAUCCAAAACCAAACAUGCACCAAACAUAUUCUUAAGACCUUGAAUAUUUUCCAAAAGCAAACAUAUAGUUAAAAUUUCAAGGUACAAUCUGGGUAGUUGUAGAUGGUAUGACUUUACCAUGUUAUUUUUAUUUACCAGCUCUAUUUGGAUAUUAGGAAUUGAAAUUUAAAUUUAGAUUAACUUCUCUCGGCUGUAAUUUUAAUUUUGGGAGUUUCGAACCAUGUGGUAAAAGUGCAUGACCAUUUAAGUUCCCAAAUGAUACGCAUGAAAAAGGAAAAUCUUUUUUCUAAUAUGUUUUAUUUUUCCCGUUAUUCAACAGACGAACACAGCAUCGACUGACGAACAGAGCAAUAUUCCAAAAAGGGGACUGCGAAAGGAGUGCUUGGAAGACAACGGAUCUAGAAGGCGUUACAUAAAGGUGGAAAAACAUCUGAAAGAUCUCUAAAUUGCACUAGAAUCAAGUGCUUUGCUACAGCUGUAAUAACAUCGACACCAGGAGCAAAAUGC